ACAGGAAAGGUUGGGGCCUGGUUGCAGCCGGAGGAGGAAAGAAGAGUUCACAGAGUGGCCACAGCUUGUCAGACCGCCUUGAAGAGAGCCUGAAGCCCAGACAGCAAUGGGUCAACAGGGACCAGGACCACACCUCGCUGAUGGCUGCUUGGUACUGAUUCAGCAGAUCCGAGCUGGAGUUGGAGUCUUGACUUUCCUCCAUGCUUGGGAAUGAAAGAAAUCCAGUGUCUCAGGAGAGAAGACAAUUUACAAACAGACUGGGCGCCUCUCUCUGGCUACCAGACUAUGGAAACAUCGAACCCCAAAGAAUUACAGUUUCCCCAGGAAGUCCUGCUAGGGAAAGAGAAGUGUCAAAGGCCCGGUGGCAGCCAGAGGAGGAACUUGCCUCCUAGGAAGAGAUUUCACACAGUUCUAACAACUUGUGGGACUACUUUCAGGAGAAACUGGAGCCCAGACAACAGUGGGUCACCUUGUAGCAGACUUUGACUGACUACUUAGCUAUGAAUACCUAUUGCAUUCUGCUUAAACCUAAAUCUCAUGUAAGAACCUCAAAAGUUUAACAGGUCGUCUUUAUUGUUCCUGUUCCCAGUGAGGCCACAGUGAAUAAAUCUUCACUGUCUGAUUUUCAUUA
Mesocricetus auratus (golden hamster) is the source of this 631-nucleotide long non-coding RNA. RefSeq lists it as uncharacterized. The transcript has 3 exons. Lineage: Eukaryota; Metazoa; Chordata; Mammalia; Rodentia; Cricetidae. The record is from RefSeq and is a predicted model, not a curated record.